This 69-nucleotide transfer RNA is filed under the name Mus terricolor (Earth-colored mouse). Its description in RNAcentral is "tRNA-Pro". The record is from RNAcentral. Lineage: Eukaryota; Metazoa; Chordata; Mammalia; Rodentia; Muridae.
CAAGAAGUAGUCCCCCUUGUGUUCUCAGCUUUGGGUGCUGAUGGUGGGGAAUAGUUCCUUCUUCAAGGA